This 497-nucleotide ribosomal RNA is filed under the name uncultured bacterium. RNAcentral's name for it is "partial 16S ribosomal RNA". It matches the Rfam family "Bacterial small subunit ribosomal RNA", at positions 28 to 507 of the family's 1533-position model. The record is from RNAcentral.
GAUGAACGCUGGCGGCGUGCCUAAUACAUGCAAGUCGAGCGAACAGACGAGGAGCUUGCUCCUCUGACGUUAGCGGCGGACGGGUGAGUAACACGUGGAUAACCUACCUAUAAGACUGGGAUAACUUCGGGAAACCGGAGCUAAUACCGGAUAAUAUAUUGAACCGCAUGGUUCAAUAGUGAAAGACGGUUUUGCUGUCACUUAUAGAUUGAUCCGCGCCGCAUUAGCUAGUUGGUAAGGUAACGGCUUACCAAGGCGACGAUGCGUAGCCGACCUGAGAGGGUGAUCGGCCACACUGGAACGGGGACACGGUCCAGAAUCCUACGGGAGGCAGCAGUAGGGAAUCUUCCGCAAUGGGCGAAAGCCUGACGGAGCAACGCCGCGUGAGUGAUGAAGGUCUUCGGAUCGUAAAACUCUGUUAUUAGGGAAGAACAAAUGUGUAAGUAACUAUGCACGUCUUGACGGUACCUAAUCAGAAAGCCACGGCUAACUACGUG